RNAcentral lists this ribosomal RNA (460 nucleotides) under uncultured bacterium. RNAcentral's name for it is "partial 16S ribosomal RNA". The record is from RNAcentral.
GACUACUGGGGUAUCUAAUCCUGUUUGCUCCCCACGCUUUCGUGCCUCAACGUCAGAAGUAGCUUGGUAAGCUGCCUUCGCAAUCGGUGUUCUGUAUGAUCUCUAAGCAUUUCACCGCUACACCAUACAUUCCGCCUACCGCAACUACUCUCUAGCCGAACAGUAUCAGAGGCAAUUCCGAAGUUGAGCCUCGGGAUUUCACCUCUAACUUAUCCGACCGCCUACGCACCCUUUAAACCCAAUAAAUCCGGAUAACGCUUGAAUCCUCCGUAUUACCGCGGCUGCUGGCACGGAGUUAGCCGAUCCUUAUUCGUACGAUACUUUCAGACAGAUACGCGUAUCUGCGUUUACCCUCGUACAAAAGCAGUUUACAACUCAUAGAGCCGUCUUCCUGCACGCGGCAUGGCUGGUUCAGACUUGCGUCCAUUGACCAAUAUUCCUCACUGCUGCCACCCGUAGG